UGGGGGUAAGCAGGACCCCCGGGAGCUUCAUCCCUCCAAGACGGUACCCGUCCAAGCCCUGU
Betaproteobacteria bacterium GR16-43 is the source of this 62-nucleotide non-coding RNA. NCBI's taxonomy places the organism in Bacteria, Pseudomonadati, Pseudomonadota, Betaproteobacteria. The record is from Rfam.